UUAAGCGACUAAGCGUACACGGUGGAUGCCCUGGCAGUCAGAGGCGAUGAAGGACGUGCUAAUCUGCGAUAAGCGUCGGUAAGGUGAUAUGAACCGUUAUAACCGGCGAUUUCCGAAUGGGGAAACCCAGUGUGAUUCGUCACACUAUCAUUAACUGAAUCCAUAGGUUAAUGAGGCGAACCGGGGGAACUGAAACAUCUAAGUACCCCGAGGAAAAGAAAUCAACCGAGAUUCCCCCAGUAGCGGCGAGCGAACGGGGAGCAGCCCAGAGCCUGAAUCAGUGUGUGUGUUAGUGGAAGCGUCUGGAAAGGCGCGCGAUACAGGGUGACAGCCCCGUACACAAAAAUGCACAUACUGUGAGCUCGAUGAGUAGGGCGGGACACGUGGUAUCCUGUCUGAAUAUGGGGGGACCAUCCUCCAAGGCUAAAUACUCCUGACUGACCGAUAGUGAACCAGUACCGUGAGGGAAAGGCGAAAAGAACCCCGGCGAGGGGAGUGAAAAAGAACCUGAAACCGUGUACGUACAAGCAGUGGGAGCACGCUUAGGCGUGUGACUGCGUACCUUUUGUAUAAUGGGUCAGCGACUUAUAUUCUGUAGCAAGGUUAACCGAAUAGGGGAGCCGAAGGGAAACCGAGUCUUAACUGGGCGUUAAGUUGCAGGGUAUAGACCCGAAACCCGGUGAUCUAGCCAUGGGCAGGUUGAAGGUUGGGUAACACUAACUGGAGGACCGAACCGACUAAUGUUGAAAAAUUAGCGGAUGACUUGUGGCUGGGGGUGAAAGGCCAAUCAAACCGGGAGAUAGCUGGUUCUCCCCGAAAGCUAUUUAGGUAGCGCCUCGUGAAUUCAUCUCCGGGGGUAGAGCACUGUUUCGGCAAGGGGGUCAUCCCGACUUACCAACCCGAUGCAAACUGCGAAUACCGGAGAAUGUUAUCACGGGAGACACACGGCGGGUGCUAACGUCCGUCGUGAAGAGGGAAACAACCCAGACCGCCAGCUAAGGUCCCAAAGUCAUGGUUAAGUGGGAAACGAUGUGGGAAGGCCCAGACAGCCAGGAUGUUGGCUUAGAAGCAGCCAUCAUUUAAAGAAAGCGUAAUAGCUCACUGGUCGAGUCGGCCUGCGCGGAAGAUGUAACGGGGCUAAACCAUGCACCGAAGCUGCGGCAGCGACGCUGAUGCGUUGUUGGGUAGGGGAGCGUUCUGUAAGCCUGCGAAGGUGUGCUGUGAGGCAUGCUGGAGGUAUCAGAAGUGCGAAUGCUGACAUAAGUAACGAUAAAGCGGGUGAAAAGCCCGCUCGCCGGAAGACCAAGGGUUCCUGUCCAACGUUAAUCGGGGCAGGGUGAGUCGACCCCUAAGGCGAGGCCGAAAGGCGUAGUCGAUGGGAAACAGGUUAAUAUUCCUGUACUUGGUGUUACUGCGAAGGGGGGACGGAGAAGGCUAUGUUGGCCGGGCGACGGUUGUCCCGGUUUAAGCGUGUAGGCUGGUUUUCCAGGCAAAUCCGGAAAAUCAAGGCUGAGGCGUGAUGACGAGGCACUACGGUGCUGAAGCAACAAAUGCCCUGCUUCCAGGAAAAGCCUCUAAGCAUCAGGUAACAUCAAAUCGUACCCCAAACCGACACAGGUGGUCAGGUAGAGAAUACCAAGGCGCUUGAGAGAACUCGGGUGAAGGAACUAGGCAAAAUGGUGCCGUAACUUCGGGAGAAGGCACGCUGAUAUGUAGGUGAAGUCCCUCGCGGAUGGAGCUGAAAUCAGUCGAAGAUACCAGCUGGCUGCAACUGUUUAUUAAAAACACAGCACUGUGCAAACACGAAAGUGGACGUAUACGGUGUGACGCCUGCCCGGUGCCGGAAGGUUAAUUGAUGGGGUCAGCGCAAGCGAAGCUCUUGAUCGAAGCCCCGGUAAACGGCGGCCGUAACUAUAACGGUCCUAAGGUAGCGAAAUUCCUUGUCGGGUAAGUUCCGACCUGCACGAAUGGCGUAAUGAUGGCCAGGCUGUCUCCACCCGAGACUCAGUGAAAUUGAACUCGCUGUGAAGAUGCAGUGUACCCGCGGCAAGACGGAAAGACCCCGUGAACCUUUACUAUAGCUUGACACUGAACAUUGAGCCUUGAUGUGUAGGAUAGGUGGGAGGCUUUGAAGUGUGGACGCCAGUCUGCAUGGAGCCG
RNAcentral lists this ribosomal RNA (2160 nucleotides) under Escherichia coli. RNAcentral's name for it is "bacterial LSU rRNA". It matches the Rfam family "Bacterial large subunit ribosomal RNA", at positions 1 to 2188 of the family's 2925-position model. Lineage: Bacteria; Pseudomonadati; Pseudomonadota; Gammaproteobacteria; Enterobacterales; Enterobacteriaceae. The record is from RNAcentral.